AAGUCGUAACAAGGUCUCCGUUGGUGAACCAGCGGAGGGAUCAUUACAGAGUUGCAAAACUCCCACAACCAUCGCGAACGUUACCUAUACCGUUGCUUCGGCGGGCCCCGCGCCCGCCGGCGGCAUACCGAACUCUUGUUUAUAUAGGCCUCUCUGAGUAUUUUGACGAAUAAGUUAAAACUUUCAACAACGGAUCUCUUGGUUCUGGCAUCGAUGAAGAACGCAGCGAAAUGCGAUAAGUAAUGUGAAUUGCAGAAUUCAGUGAAUCAUCGAAUCUUUGAACGCACAUUGCGCCCGCCAGUAUUCUGGCGGGCAUGCCUGUUCGAGCGUCAUUUCAACCAUCAAGCCCCCGGCUUGUGUUGGGGCCCUGCGGCUGCCGCAGGCCCUGAAAACCAGUGGCGGGCUCGCCGUCGGACCGAGCGUAGUAACACAUCUCGCUCCGGACCCGCGGCGGGCGCUGGCCGUGAAACACCCCCCUUCUCAAGGUUGACCUCGGAUCAGGUAGGAAUACCCGCUGAACUUA
RNAcentral lists this ribosomal RNA (523 nucleotides) under uncultured fungus. Its description in RNAcentral is "eukaryotic LSU rRNA". The stretch from base 179 to 332 matches the Rfam family "5.8S ribosomal RNA". The record is from RNAcentral. Lineage: Eukaryota; Fungi.